GAUGAACGCUGGCGGCGUGCCUAAUACAUGCAAGUCGAGCGAACAGACGAGGAGCCUGCUCCUCUGACGUUAGCGGCGGACGGGUGAGUAACACGUGGAUAACCUACCUAUAAGACUGGGAUAACUUCGGGAGACCGGAGCUAAUACCGGAUAAUAUAUUGAACCGCAUGGUUCAAUAGUGAAAGACGGUUUUGCUGUCACUUAUAGAUGGAUCCGCGCCGCAUUAGCUAGUUGGUAAGGUAACGGCUUACCAAGGCAACGAUGCGUAGCCGACCUGAGAGGGUGAUCGGCCACACUGGAACUGAGACACGGUCCAGACUCCUACGGGAGGCAGCAGUAGGGAAUCUUCCGCAAUGGGCGAAAGCCUGACGGAGCAACGCCGCGUGAGUGAUGAAGGUCUUCGGAUCGUAAAACUCUGUUAUUAGGGAAGAACAAAUGUGUAAGUAACUAUGCACGUCUUGACGGUACCUAAUCAGAAAGCCACGGCUAACUACGUG
RNAcentral lists this ribosomal RNA (497 nucleotides) under uncultured bacterium. Its description in RNAcentral is "partial 16S ribosomal RNA". It matches the Rfam family "Bacterial small subunit ribosomal RNA", at positions 28 to 507 of the family's 1533-position model. The record is from RNAcentral.